GGUAAUUCGCCUAAUGUCACUGCCCUCUGGGUUUACCUGUUGGGUGCUCAUGUGUAUCUGUUGGGUUUUAUAGUCUUCAGUGAGGAAAAAGCGUCCUGUGAUUUGUUAUCUGUUUGAGUUAUUAGGCGUUUUCAGCAUCAAUCAUGUGACUGAGCUGCGUGCAGCUGGAAAAAGGGACCCGUCACUCCUCACUAACAGCACAGACCUUUCCAGGGCUCCAGAGCACACUCAGGUUCCUCAGUUUCAUCGGGCUUUUCCAAGAACAGGCACGGAGAGCAGGAUUUAAGUGCCAAAGCAGAUACUUGAGGCUGCCCAGGAUGUCCUGAGGCCUCCAGAACAUCAGCAGGGAGUGGAUAUUUGUGGAAAAGGACACAUGGGAGGUCCCUGCCCUGUCAGGGAGCAGCUGAAGCCCAGUGAAGUGCCUGCAGAGAUGCCCUCUGCACAGUCCCACUUCCCAGAGUGGAGAGUAUAGACCCAAGAACCGUGGCUCCUGAGCUGUGCCUGCAACCAUCCUACCUGAGAAACGAUGGCUUUGACAGACUUAAGCUCCUUUGAGAGGACAGCAUGGAAGGGCCAAGAAGAGAAAAUGUAUUUACUUUGGUGCAUUUCAAUGAAAAGUGAAAUGAGAUGCUGUCUUCUUGCGGGGUGUUGUUCCUAAGCUUCUGCCAAGGCUCUCUGUGGUGCAAAUGGGUCUGGUUCUGGGCAGAGCCUGAGCCCCACAGCCUUCCUGCAGCUGCACAUCUGCUUCUCUUGGGGUCCUUCCUGUUUUGCUCACCUCCUUACCCACCUCUGUGUGUCCUAACCUGUACCUUUAUGCUGAUCCUUAUUACUAGUGAUGUGUUUUGUGAAAACACAAACAGUGAAUUUUUUUUUUUUCUCUAAAGAGAUACAGUGUUCUAGCAUUAAAAAUAACACAAGCUAAUAGGGGUUACAGGAAAUUAAAUUUAUUUAGUUUUAUCCUCUUGGGUGUAUUGUAUAUCAUGACCCUCCUGCCACCAGCAAACCUACUGUUAAAUCCAUCAAAAUUGAUCUAUGUUUAGCUAUUCAUUUUAUGUAUAUUAAUUUGAACAGAACAUUUAUUUGGUUUAAAUUUUAUUUUCGGUGGUGGAAUGUAUGUUCCAAAUGCAAGCACAGGCGAUUUGCUAGGAUUUAGUUAGGAGGAAUGUGGAAUGUUAGUUUACAAAGAUAAUAACCAAGCUAUGAAAGCCAACAACCCCUUUUAAAGCAAACAUACCAUUAAAAUAUAGGAACAGUUUAUAGUGUAAAUAAAAUUGAGGAUAUGGAUUAUUUAAAGAUAAAAUUUUUAGGGGUAGCUAUGAGAAAGUUGAAUAAAAUGUAUUUAAUUGCACCACUCUUUUUUCUAAAGUGAACUUCAAAAAUGCAAAUAAAGGAUGGUACUUUAUGGGCAGGGGGAGACAGCUACACAGACAGUGAUGUUAGAAAUCCAUUUUACUUAUGGAGAUGUAUAAUAGUGAUUUGACUUUUAUUUUCUAAUCUGAAUCAGAUUUCAGGGGGAAAAAAAAUUGUGCUUAAACUCCUAAGUGGCAGAAUUUAUCUUGCUUGUGAAUCCAUACAGUGGAAAGAGUAGCAAGGCAUUUGCUUCUAGAUCAUUCUCCUUGUCUGAAUGACAGAUACAAUAAUUCCCUCUAUUAGCCAGAUCCAUUGUCUUUAUUUUGCACAGAAGUACUGUAUUGCUGAGGUAGACUUCCACUGCUAUGCAUAUUUUAAGGGUUAUUUGGCAACACAAGUAAAGCUAAAAGUAGCCUCUUAAUCUAAUUAAUUGACAUUUCUGAAUCUUGCUUUCACAACAACACAUGGUUUCAUGUUCUGGGUUUUAGCACUUGUCAAGCUUUUUUGGAGAAUGUUUUGGUCAGAAUGACAAGAUAAUUUGUGACUGAGGCUCCAAGCUAGAGGAGUGUUUAAGGCUAUAAUGAUUUAUUAUCAUCACAGAAUAACAAAAUUUACAAAGCGUUUCAUCAGAAUUUUUGAAAUAAGUUUGCCACCGUGGUAGAAGCAUGCAGGGAGUGUGGGGGGGGUCUUCCUACCCAAAUGCCAGUGUGACUUAUUUGUAAUAAUCACAACGCUAAAUUUAUUUUGGAGCUUUUCUUGACAGACUUGCAGCACAGUUAGAAAGACAAGAGGUGAGGGAAUUGUAACAACCAAGAAGGUAAAACUCUGCCUUUUUUUAAACAAACGCUCUGUGACCAAAAUAAAAAUAUGUGCUUCGUGCAAUAAAUAAUAUAUACGUGGCCAUGUUAAACUAUCAGUGCUAACAUCCUGGCAGGAGAGACUAGAAAUAGUCACACCAUAAAAAGUUUAAAACAGUGAAUGUCUGUGCUUUUGAUGUUCAGAAAUGCAUACAAAACUAUUUUCUUGAAGGAUAAAAUAGGUGAUGUUACUGAGUGACGGUGCAUUAGUGGGGCUGGCAUUUGUGGACUUUCAGGCAACUGCUAUAAAAAGAAAUAAUGUAACCACACUAAUUUUGACUUCAUUUUGAUUCUCUGCUAAGUGAACUAAGGAUGCCAGACUUUGAGACAAAAUGUCUGACUCUGAACGUGCAGCAUUUCCACUUAUUCUCUGUGUUUCUAUAACUUAUUAUGUAAUUAAAUACCUUGAAACCCUAGGCAUUGGUUAGUUUAGACAAAGUUGUGACAGUUAUUUGACUUCAGAGGCCGGGAAUAGAAGCCACUUCUCCAAUGCCCUAAAGUGAUUUUGAGGCUGUUUUGUUUGACUAUCAAACACAUACCUUUCCAGAGCAAGCUUUUUUAAAGAUGCAGUCAUAGCUCGCUGAGGGAUGAGGUGAGGCAUUAACGUGUUUGGCAGCAAAGUGUGUGUAACAUUGUUUAGCAAUAACAAAGACAGUAUCACCCAGCAUCAGCGAGCCCUGUGUCUCAAAGGAUCACGAGGCUGUUUCUCGUAGAAAUUAGCUGUAAUUAUUGUAUGUAUUUACAAGGCACAGGCACUGCAGUAUCCAUGUGCCCUUUCCAAGAACCAGUACGUGGUGAGCUAAUGGAAGGCGACUUCCAAGCUGGCACAGGGAGUGACCCCUUGGGUUCCAGGCAUUCCUUUUUUUUUUUUUUUUCUUCUUUCUCUUCUUUUUUUCUUCUUUUCCCUUUUCACAGAACUACUCAGGCACUUGCAUUUAGUGAGUUGGAAUGUAAAAAGAUGUGUCUCGCAUCUCCUGCAAGAGCUUGCCAGAUUCAGGCUCUGAUGGAUUUCUGGCAAGAGUCAGUUCCGGAGCUGAGGACCCACCACAGAGAAUAUCUAUUUAUUUAAGCUAUUUAUAGCAUUUCUAAAGAACUCUUCACUGUAUUAUCUCAGCAUGUCACAGAAAUUAAAGGUACACCAUGAAUUAAAGGUGUGCCAGCAGCAUCCAGCACUGGCUGCCAGAAGGUCCUGCAGGGCUUC
This is a long non-coding RNA of Passer domesticus (house sparrow), 3408 nucleotides long. RefSeq lists it as uncharacterized. The record is from RefSeq and is a predicted model, not a curated record. The transcript has 5 exons. NCBI's taxonomy places the organism in Eukaryota, Metazoa, Chordata, Aves, Passeriformes, Passeridae.